AGUGGGGAAUCUUGCGCAAUGGACGAAAGUCUGACGCAGCGAUGCCGCGUGCGGGAUGAAGGCCCUCGGGUUGUAAACCGCUUUCAGCAGGGACGAAAUUGACGGUACCUGCAGAAGAAGCCCCGGCCAACUACGUGCCAGCAGCCGCGGUAAUACGUAGGGGGCGAGCGUUGUCCGGAUUUAUUGGGCGUAAAGAGCUCGUAGGCGGUUCGAUAAGUCGGAUGUGAAAUCUCCACGCUCAACGUGGAGGGGCCAUUCGAUACUGUCGUGACUCGAGUCCGGUAGGGGAGUGUGGAAUUCCCGGUGUAGCGGUGAAAUGCGCAGAGAUCGGGAGGAACACCCGUAGCGAAGGCGGCACUCUGGGCCGGUACUGACGCUGAGGAGCGAAAGCGUGGGGAGCAAA
This 403-nucleotide ribosomal RNA is filed under the name uncultured Acidimicrobiales bacterium. RNAcentral's name for it is "bacterial SSU rRNA". It matches the Rfam family "Bacterial small subunit ribosomal RNA", at positions 353 to 772 of the family's 1533-position model. The record is from RNAcentral. Lineage: Bacteria; Bacillati; Actinomycetota; Acidimicrobiia; Acidimicrobiales.